GAACGCUGGCGGCGUGCUUAACACAUGCAAGUCGAACGAUGAAGCCCAGCUUGCUGGGUGGAUUAGUGGCGAACGGGUGAGUAACACGUGAGUAACCUGCCCUUAACUCUGGGAUAAGCCUGGGAAACUGGGUCUAAUACCGGAUAGGAGCGUCCACCGCAUGGUGGGUGUUGGAAAGAUUUAUCGGUUUUGGAUGGACUCGCGGCCUAUCAGCUUGUUGGUGAGGUAAUGGCUCACCAAGGCGACGACGGGUAGCCGGCCUGAGAGGGUGACCGGCCACACUGGGACUGAGACACGGCCCAGACUCCUACGGGAGGCAGCAGUGGGGAAUAUUGCACAAUGGGCGCAAGCCUGAUGCAGCGACGCCGCGUGAGGGAUGACGGCCUUCGGGUUGUAAACCUCUUUCAGUAGGGAAGAAGCGAAAGUGACGGUACCUGCAGAAGAAGCACCGGCUAACUACGUG
RNAcentral lists this ribosomal RNA (463 nucleotides) under uncultured bacterium. Its description in RNAcentral is "partial 16S ribosomal RNA". It matches the Rfam family "Bacterial small subunit ribosomal RNA", at positions 31 to 507 of the family's 1533-position model. The record is from RNAcentral.